CUGUUACAACUUCGCUGAUGUGCGACGGAGUCCGUUGUUGUAAUAGAGAGUUUGAGACGUCCAUCGCACCGUACGACUCCGACAUUCGUACGGCCCGAACACGGGAGAGAACGCUGAGCGUUACAAC
Molecule: non-coding RNA, 127 nt
Organism: Corynebacterium casei LMG S-19264
Lineage: Bacteria; Bacillati; Actinomycetota; Actinomycetes; Mycobacteriales; Corynebacteriaceae
Source: Rfam